AGAAUCAACGCUGGCGGCGUGCCUAACACAUGCAAGUCGAGCGCGAAAGGGGAGCAAUCCCCGAGUAGAGCGGCGAACGGGUGAGUAACGCGUGGGUAAUCUACCUCCGAGUGGGGAAUAACAGCGGGAAACUGCUGCUAAUACCGCGUGACAUCGUCGAGCCUUCGGGCCUGACGAUCAAAGCCGGGGACCGCAAGGCCUGGCGCUUGGAGAGGAGCCCGCGUCCGAUUAGCUAGUUGGCGGGGUAAUGGCCCACCAAGGCUCCGAUCGGUAGCC
RNAcentral lists this ribosomal RNA (276 nucleotides) under uncultured soil bacterium. RNAcentral's name for it is "partial 16S ribosomal RNA". It matches the Rfam family "Bacterial small subunit ribosomal RNA", at positions 26 to 288 of the family's 1533-position model. The record is from RNAcentral.